UACGUAGGGGGCAAGCGUUGUCCGGAAUCAUUGGGCGUAAAGCGCGUGUAGGCGGUUCGAUAAGUCUGCUGUGAAAGUCCAGGGCUCAACCCUGGAAAGCCGGUGGAUACUGUCGGACUAGAGUGCGGAAGAGGCGAGUGGAAUUCCCGGUGUAGCGGUGAAAUGCGCAGAUAUCGGGAGGAACACCAAUUGCGAAGGCAGCUCGCUGGGACGUUACUGACGCUGAGACGCGAAAGCGUGGGGAGCAAACGGG
This 253-nucleotide ribosomal RNA is filed under the name uncultured bacterium. RNAcentral's name for it is "partial 16S ribosomal RNA". It matches the Rfam family "Bacterial small subunit ribosomal RNA", at positions 524 to 776 of the family's 1533-position model. The record is from RNAcentral.